UACAGAGGGGGCAAGCGUUGUUCGGAAUUACUGGGCGUAAAGGGCGCGUAGGCGGCCUGUUAAGUCGAACGUGAAAUCCCCGGGCUCAACCCGGGAACUGCGUCCGAUACUGGCAGGCUUGAAUCCGGGAGAGGGAUGCGGAAUUCCAGGUGUAGCGGUGAAAUGCGUAGAUAUCUGGAGGAACACCGGUGGCGAAGGCGGCUGACUGGGCCGACCCUGACGCUGAGGCGCGAAGGCGUGGGGAGCGAACGGG
Molecule: ribosomal RNA, 253 nt
Filed under: uncultured bacterium
Lineage: Bacteria
Description: partial 16S ribosomal RNA
Rfam family: Bacterial small subunit ribosomal RNA
Source: RNAcentral